Molecule: small nuclear RNA, 107 nt
Filed under: Salvator merianae (Argentine black and white tegu)
Lineage: Eukaryota; Metazoa; Chordata; Lepidosauria; Squamata; Teiidae
Source: RNAcentral
CUGCUCGCUUUGGCAGCAGAUAUACUAAAGUUGAAACAAUACAGAGAAGAUUAGCUUGGCCCCUGCGCGAGAAUGGCACGCAAAUUCGUGAAGCAUUGCAUAUUUUU